GGGUGUGGAUCCUUCUUGGGCAUCCUACUUGCUAGUGUGAGAUAUCACAUAAUCACAUCUCAUCCCUCGAUUGAUUGAUUUGCGAAGCCAAUUAGUUUGGAGUUCAUCCUGCUUUCCUGCGGCGUCUAACGUGCAUACAAAGUAGAGGGUCUGCAUAUCCAGAUCUCCAUAAAGGUUUAUAUCAAAUAAUUUAAGAUUUGAUCUCUAGUUCUAUAGUGAUUCAGGUAAGGAUUUGAUCUUUAAACAAGUAGAAUAUUAAAAAAAAUUUUUAGAUGCAACUUGGGCAUUCUGGAGGAAAACUGUUUCCUUCUCUUCAACUGGUAUCAGAGCAGGCCUGA
RNAcentral lists this long non-coding RNA (338 nucleotides) under Elaeis guineensis (African oil palm). RNAcentral's name for it is "long non-coding RNA (EGUI_LNC070339)". Lineage: Eukaryota; Viridiplantae; Streptophyta; Magnoliopsida; Arecales; Arecaceae. The record is from RNAcentral.